GUAGUCUCGCACAGAUGCAUAUCAAUAAGCGGAGGAAAAGAAACUAACAAGGAUUCCCUUAGUAACGGCGAGUGAAGCGGGAAGAGCUCAAAUUUGAAAUCUUCAAGGUUUUACCUUGACGAAUUGUAGUUUAAAGAAGUGUUUUCUGUUGAAGUUUUGGUAAAAGUUCUUUGGAAUAGGACAUCAUAGAGGGUGAGAAUCCCGUAUUUGACCAUUAUUUUCAGCUGUGUGAUACACUUUCAAAGAGUCGGAUUGUUUGGGAAUGCAGUCCAAAAUGGGUGGUAAAUUUCAUCUAAAGCUAAAUAUUGGCGAGAGACCGAUAGCGAACAAGUACCGUGAGGGAAAGAUGAAAAGAACUUUGAAAAGAGAGUUAAACAGUACGUGAAAUCGUCAAAAGGGAAGCGUUUGACACCAGUGUUGUUUUUCCUGAAAAUCAAUUAAAGAAUUGAUUCAUGCCUAAGUUGUAUUAGACCUUAUCAGCUUGCAAUUUGGUUUUGGGUCUCUUUUUGAUGCACUUUUCGGUUAACAAGUCAACAUCAAUUUCCUUUGCUGUAAAAAGGUAAGAGGAAGGUGGCUUCAAUUUCGGUUGAAGUGUUUAUAGCCUUUUAUCUCUGCAGUCGGGGAGAUUGAGGUCUGCAGCGUAGAUCCUUCGGGGCUAGAUACAUUUAUGCUAAGCUAUAGCCUUGUAUAGACAACUUGCUGACUAUGCUCAGUCAUGUAGCUUACUCGCUGAUGCUAUUUUACCUACGCUUAGGAUGUUGACGCGCGUGUGUGCGUG
Molecule: ribosomal RNA, 778 nt
Filed under: uncultured Neocallimastigales
Lineage: Eukaryota; Fungi; Neocallimastigomycota; Neocallimastigomycetes; Neocallimastigales
Description: partial large subunit ribosomal RNA
Rfam family: Eukaryotic large subunit ribosomal RNA
Source: RNAcentral